RNAcentral lists this long non-coding RNA (494 nucleotides) under Sus scrofa (pig). RNAcentral's name for it is "lncRNA (ENSSSCG00050072256.1)". Lineage: Eukaryota; Metazoa; Chordata; Mammalia; Artiodactyla; Suidae. The record is from RNAcentral.
AAAAAUAGCUCUAAGGAACCGCUUUCAUUGUGUGCACCUGCCUAUUCAUCCAGACACUCCGAGGAAGCUCCUGGAAAUGAAAUACGGCUUCGUCCACACGAUAAAUCACACUCAGAAAGGAACUCUCUGCCCACAAGAUCCCUGUGAAAUGUCGCCUCGAAUGAAGAUAGCUCCUGCCAGGUACAUAAACUCACUACCUGCAGAGACAAAAUGGCAUGGCUGCAGGCAUUUAAGUGACAAUAGCUAUGUUGAUGAGAACGGAAUAAUGUAUAAAACCACGAAGAAAAGCAAAACAUUUUUCUGAGGCUCAUCUAAAAAGGGCCUGGACAGGAGCUCCCAUUGUGGUUCAUUGGGUUAAGAACCUGCCUAGUACCCAUGAGGAUGCAGGUUCCAUCCCUGGCCUCCCUCAGUGGAUGGGGGAUCUGGCGUUGCCAUGAACUGUGGUGUAGGUCACAGACGCGGCUCGGAUCUGGUGUUGCUGUGGCUGUGGCGAA